AGACUAAUCAAACCAUCUAGUAAAUAGUUCACUACAAAGUUUCCCUCAGGAUUGCUAAAGUCCUUAGUGAGUUUUAUAAGGUAAAGCCAAUAAAGGCAUCAAGGGUGCAGCAUCUUCUUCUUAUUCUUAAACUUUACAUAUACAGGAUGAAGUGACUACUUCAUUGAGCUACGCCUUGGAAUUAAGAACUCCAAGUGGGCCAUUUUUGGUAAGCAAAACUGGCAAUGCAGGAUGAACUAAAAGUCAGGUUACGGUGCCCAAUUAUGUGAUAACCUACAACCCACAAAGGAUGUUGGUCGAUUAAGAUAGUAGGAUAGUGGUCAUGGAAGUUGAAAUUCACUAAGGAAUGUGUAACAACUAACUUACCAAAUCAACUAGCCCCAAAAAUGGAUAGUGCUUAAGCGUGCGACCCAUACCCAACCAUCAAGGUAAGGGCCAGGCCCUGAAAUGUAAGAAAGGGUAGCAGUUAUCACAAAAUCUAUGGUGCGAGCCUAAGUAAAGUGGCUGUCAGUACAUAUCUUGAUGGUAGUAGCAAAUAUUCAAAUUAGAACUUUAAAGGCCAAAAAGGGGAAAGAUUCUAUGUGAACAACACUUGCACAUAGGUUAGUCGAUCCUAAAAGAUGGUAAAAGUCUAUCCAACAAUGUGUCUAGUGCAAGCAUAAAAAAAGAAUCAAGUUAAAAUUUCUAAACCAAGAUGUGGUGGCUGACAACAACAAUAGGGAGUUCGAGACAUCAACGAGGGCUUCAGGAAAAGUUAUCUUCUCUACUUAAUAGCCACCCACCAUGGAAAUGGCUCAACCAAAGGUAGGGUCUAGCUAUCGAAAAAGCACUACACAUCACAUGGUGUUUGAUGCAUCUUGGCUAUGCUUGAAAACUUGGAGGAUCGAGGGUUAUCCACACCUGGUCAUACUCAUAACCGCAUCAAGUCUCCAAGGUGAAUAGCCUUUGGUCAAUAGAACAAUGUAGGCAAGGGAAGUCGGUAAAAUGGAUGUAAACCAUGGGAAAAAGACUACCUCUAAGGGCUGGGCAUAAAGGUCCCAGUCCUGAACCCAUCGGCUACCAGGGCAUUACUUGAGCUUCUCCUAUGGUGAGAGUGGGUUGCCACAUGCUGGCUAAGGGAUGGACUGGGAAGGGUUCCAUCAAGGACCUUUCCUAGGUGAUAAACAGUUGACUCAAAAUUGGUAUGAAAAAGGGGAAUCCAGCUGUUUAAUUAAAACAAAGCAUUACGAUGGUCCAUAAGGCUGCCUAUGCAAUGUGAUUUCUACCCAAUCCUCUAAAUGUCAAAGUGAAAAAACUCAACGAAGCAUGGGUAAAUGGUGGGAGUAAAUAUGACUUUCUUAAGGUAGCCAAAUGCCUUAUCAUCUUAAUAGUGAUGCACAUGAAUGGAUUAACAAAAUUCUCAUCGUCUCUGUCUACUAUCCAAUGAAACCAUAGCCAAAAGAACGGGCUGGGUGGAAUUAGUGAGGAAAGAAGACCCUAUUGAGCUUGAUCUAGUCUGACUUUGUGAAAUGAGGUGUAAGAUAAGUGGAAGCCUUCAGGAAUGAAAUACCAUAGCUUUUAAUGUUAUUUUACUUAUUCCAUGAAUCGAAGGUGGGGCAUGACCCUUUCAUUUAGACUUAAGGUUAGCCUUAGUCAAUCGAUUCUGGUGGAAGACAUUGUUAGGUGGGGAGUUUGGCUAGGCUAGCACAUUUGUUAAAAGAUAAUACAUGUGUCCUAAGAUGAGCUCAAUGAGAAUAGAAAUCCCAUGUGGAAUAAAAAGGUAAAAGCUCAUUUGAUUCUAAUUUCUAGUACGAAUAUGAAUCAUAAAAGCAUGGCCUAUUAAUCCUUUAGACUUUUAAAACUUAAAGCUAGAGGUGUUAAAAGAGUUACCACAUGGAUAACUAGCUUAUGGCAACAAGUGUUCAUAGCAACAUUACUUUUUUGUCCUUCAAUGUCAGCUCUUCCUAUCAUUAUGAAGUAGAUUUUGCCAAAUGUUGUAUUAUUCACCCACCAAUAGGGAAUGUGAGUUGGGUUUAGACCGUUAUGAGAUAGGUAGGUUUUACGCUACUGAUGGAAGAGUUGUAAUAGUAAUUUAACCUAAUACAAGAAGAACUAUUGGUUCUCACAUUUGGUCUUUACUUAUAGUAAUUUAACCUAGUAUGAAGCUAUCAUAUGCUGAAUUAUGAUUGAAUGCCUCUAAAUCAAAAUCCAGGCUAGAUGUGAUGCACACAUCUAUUGCUCAAUUGCUAACCUAUAAUAGAGGCCUAUGACCCCUAAGGGCACGUGUCAUAGGUGCAACCCUUAUGGCAAACAAGCGACAUAGGCCUUCUUAGAGCUUAAUUCCCAUCAAGUGAUGGGUAGAAUCCUUUGCAGAAGACUUAAAUAUGUGAUAGGGUAUUAUAAGUGUCAAAGUGGCCUUGCUACCACAAUCUACUAAGAUUCAAC
RNAcentral lists this ribosomal RNA (2424 nucleotides) under Durio zibethinus. RNAcentral describes it as "eukaryotic LSU rRNA". It matches the Rfam family "Eukaryotic large subunit ribosomal RNA", at positions 928 to 3382 of the family's 3401-position model. The record is from RNAcentral. Lineage: Eukaryota; Viridiplantae; Streptophyta; Magnoliopsida; Malvales; Malvaceae.